This 116-nucleotide ribosomal RNA is filed under the name Morganella morganii. RNAcentral also lists the same sequence under 1 other name. Lineage: Bacteria; Pseudomonadati; Pseudomonadota; Gammaproteobacteria; Enterobacterales; Morganellaceae. The record is from RNAcentral.
CUUGGCGGCCGUAGCGCGGUGGUCCCACCUGACCCCAUGCCGAACUCAGAAGUGAAACGCCGUAGCGCCGAUGGUAGUGUGGGGUCUCCCCAUGUGAGAGUAGGGAACCGCCAGGU